GCUUCCAGCCAUUCAGCUUCAGCAUCAACCAUGUUCUCUCUAUCUCUGAUGCUGCUGCUGACAGCUGGAUCCUGUGUGUACUGCAUUGAUCUGAUCCAGCAGGACUCUAAAGUUGUGCAGCCUGGACAGUCACUGACCAUCACCUGUCGGCCCUCUGGUUAUUCUGUGACUGAUAAUAACUAUGCGACAGGAUGGAUCAGACAUCGUGAAGGAAAACCAAUGGAAUGGAUUUUUGAUAUGUGGGGUGGUGGGACCUUUUACAAGAAUGAGGCCCUUGAGAACAAGUUCAGCUACAGCAAAGACUCUUCUGCUGGAACAGUAACAAUAACAGGACAGAAUCUGCAGCCUGAAGACGCAGCUGUUUAUUACUGUGUGAGUCGACGCACUGUGAUGCAAAACACAUGCAAGACUGUGCAAAAACUCAGCAGGCAGCAGUCAGACACGGCCUUCAUAAACACCCAGCUACACUGA
Non-coding RNA from Poecilia latipinna (sailfin molly), 471 nucleotides. The record is from the annotation of a RefSeq genome assembly. NCBI's taxonomy places the organism in Eukaryota, Metazoa, Chordata, Actinopteri, Cyprinodontiformes, Poeciliidae.